UAAAACCUUGAUAUAUAGUUGGCACAGGAACAAAUCUAUCCCUACCCUUUUUAUUCAACACAAGCUGACGAAACAUCCUUGAUGUCUACAAUGGACAUGUUCUAGACCUGCUAUUGGCUGUCCCUUAGAAUUACUUUACUGUAUAUCGCACUCCAUUGUCGGUUAUGCUUGUGAUGCACAGCCCCACCUCUGUCCACGUGUCCUUAUACACUCCACUAGCCUUCCACGUGUCUUCUCCUUCUACUAAAAAAAAAACCCAAUAAUUACAGUUCUGCCACUCAAAGAAUCCUGAUCUAUCCUAUCAAUCAUCAAAGGAGUCCGUUACGAUUUACAACACCAAUUGCAACGCUAACUAUUAUAUCAUAUCUCGUUAUCUUUGCCCGUUUUGAUCAAACGGCUUCGAAACUACUUUUGCCAAAAACAAGCAACUUUACUUACGCUAAACUGUGAGUUAUGCUGUGGAAGUAAAACCCACUUUCUGGGGCUCUCUCAAUUCCCCUACUUCUAUAUAAUCUUCUCCUCCUCCCCUUGGCAUGUGUUGCUUCGGGUUUUAUA
This 555-nucleotide unclassified non-coding RNA is filed under the name Hevea brasiliensis (rubber tree). Lineage: Eukaryota; Viridiplantae; Streptophyta; Magnoliopsida; Malpighiales; Euphorbiaceae. The record is from RNAcentral.